RNAcentral lists this non-coding RNA (96 nucleotides) under Fonticula alba. The record is from RNAcentral. Lineage: Eukaryota; Rotosphaerida; Fonticulaceae.
GUGUUGCACCAAAGGAGAGAUGGUUGGCAUCCCCCUUGACAAGGUCGGCAUACAAGCGUGGUCUGGCAAAGCCCCACAAAUGGCUCAAUUUUUUUU